GUUUGAUCCUGGCUCAGGACGAACGCUGGCGGCGUGCCUAAUACAUGCAAGUCGAACGAACUCUGGUAUUGAUUGGUGCUUGCAUCAUGAUUUACAUUUGAGUGAGUGGCGAACUGGUGAGUAACACGUGGGAAACCUGCCCAGAAGCGGGGGAUAACACCUGGAAACAGAUGCUAAUACCGCAUAACAACUUGGACCGCAUGGUCCGAGCUUGAAAGAUGGCUUCGGCUAUCACUUUUGGAUGGUCCCGCGGCGUAUUAGCUAGAUGGUGGGGUAACGGCUCACCAUGGCAAUGAUACGUAGCCGACCUGAGAGGGUAAUCGGCCACAUUGGGACUGAGACACGGCCCAAACUCCUACGGGAGGCAGCAGUAGGGAAUCUUCCACAAUGGACGAAAGUCUGAUGGAGCAACGCCGCGUGAGUGAAGAAGGGUUUCGGCUCGUAAAACUCUGUUGUUAAAGAAGAACAUAUCUGAGAGUAACUGUUCAGGUAUUGACGGUAUUUAACCAGAAAGCCACGGCUAACUACGUGCCAGCAGCCGCGGUAAUACGUAGGUGGCAAGCGUUGUCCGGAUUUAUUGGGCGUAAAGCGAGCGCAGGCGGUUUUUUAAGUCUGAUGUGAAAGCCUUCGGCUCAACCGAAGAAGUGCAUCGGAAACUGGGAAACUUGAGUGCAGAAGAGGACAGUGGAACUCCAUGUGUAGCGGUGAAAUGCGUAGAUAUAUGGAAGAACACCAGUGGCGAAGGCGGCUGUCUGGUCUGUAACUGACGCUGAGGCUCGAAAGUAUGGGUAGCAAACAGGAUUAGAUACCCUGGUAGUCCAUACCGUAAACGAUGAAUGCUAAGUGUUGGAGGGUUUCCGCCCUUCAGUGCUGCAGCUAACGCAUUAAGCAUUCCGCCUGGGGAGUACGGCCGUAAGGCUGAAACUCAAAGGAAUUGACGGGGGCCCGCACAAGCGGUGGAGCAUGUGGUUUAAUUCGAAGCUACGCGAAGAACCUUACCAGGUCUUGACAUACUAUGCAAAUCUAAGAGAUUAGACGUUCCCUUCGGGGACAUGGAUACAGGUGGUGCAUGGUUGUCGUCAGCUCGUGUCGUGAGAUGUUGGGUUAAGUCCCGCAACGAGCGCAACCCUUAUUAUCAGUUGCCAGCAUUAAGUUGGGCACUCUGGUGAGACUGCCGGUGACAAACCGGAGGAAGGUGGGGAUGACGUCAAAUCAUCAUGCCCCUUAUGACCUGGGCUACACACGUGCUACAAUGGAUGGUACAACGAGUUGCGAACUCGCGAGAGUAAGCUAAUCUCUUAAAGCCAUUCUCAGUUCGGAUUGUAGGCUGCAACUCGCCUACAUGAAGUCGGAAUCGCUAGUAAUCGCGGAUCAGCAUGCCGCGGUGAAUACGUUCCCGGGCCUUGUACACACCGCCCGUCACACCAUGAGAGUUUGUAACACCCAAAGUCGGUGGGGUAACCUUUUAGGAACCAGCCGCCUAAGGUGGGACAGAUGAUUAGGGUG
RNAcentral lists this ribosomal RNA (1506 nucleotides) under Lactiplantibacillus argentoratensis. RNAcentral describes it as "partial 16S ribosomal RNA". It matches the Rfam family "Bacterial small subunit ribosomal RNA". Lineage: Bacteria; Bacillati; Bacillota; Bacilli; Lactobacillales; Lactobacillaceae. The record is from RNAcentral.